UGUGAUGGGGUGAAAUCAUGGCAGUGUGAUUUUCAAACACCAACUUGCCUUGGAAGGGAAUGUGGGGAUGUGCACUGCUGGAAGCCAUGUGUUCUGAUAUGAGAAGAACUUCUUCAGAAGGUAUCUUAAUGCAUAUGGGGAAACUGAGGCCCAGUUGUCAUAGCCUUCUCCAGCAUGUGUUCCUUCUGUAUUUCAGACAUGGCAGAGGAGACACAGCAAUAACUAAGGGGCAACUAUUGCAUCCAGAAAAAAAAAAAAUGAAGAUAAUGACUUCUCUGCAACUAAGAUGAAGAUCCACUGAACUUUGGGGUUUGAAAUGCAACGUUAGAACUUCAGACUCCCGGCACCUAGGUCUCCAGCUGCUGGGUGGUGCCAGCAUCAGAGAUACACUCUGCAAAACAUAUACUGUCUUAGGAAAAAGUGACCCUGUUGUCCUUUCAGGCCCAUAUUCCACAAGAAGACAAAUGGAGAUGUAAAAGGAAAACUGCAGCUCCGACUGAAGAGAGAGCAAGUUGUCUGUUCUGAUACAGCCAGGAAAUAAGAUGUUCUGGUUAAUAUGUGCUAAAGAUGUGGUGCUGACUUUCCGACUCAGAAUAUGAUC
RNAcentral lists this long non-coding RNA (601 nucleotides) under Homo sapiens (human). Its description in RNAcentral is "HSALNT0326163". The record is from RNAcentral. Lineage: Eukaryota; Metazoa; Chordata; Mammalia; Primates; Hominidae.